GUAGAAACUGAAGAGCAGAAAGAGGAACCGAGGGUCUGAAGGCUAGUUUCAACCAGGAGAAAAACACCAGAAUUAGGGUCCUGUUAGAUCCGCGAAAUUCGACCGAGUGGAGUGUUUAGAGCUCUCUUCAAUCCAAUCAGGUAAUCAAGGAGAGUAGCCGUUAUCGUUUAGUUCGUGAGGGUGUCAUUGCUCUGAUACGUAGCACUCGGGGAUAAUGAACGCUUGAAUGAUUUAUUUUG
Molecule: long non-coding RNA, 239 nt
Organism: Vicia villosa (hairy vetch)
Lineage: Eukaryota; Viridiplantae; Streptophyta; Magnoliopsida; Fabales; Fabaceae
Exons: 3
Source: RefSeq, a predicted model, not a curated record